UUAUAUUUUAUUUAUUAAUAAUUUUUUAUUAUAUUAUAUUUUAUUAAAAAUAAUUAUAGAUUUUAUUGUUUUAGUAUUUUAUAAAGAAAAAAUAAAUUUAAUGAUAGUUAAAUAGUAUUGUGGAAGAAAAUUGAAAUAAAUUGAAAAAUUAAUAUAGUGAAAGAAAAUUUAAUUUAUUGUACCUUGUGUAUCAGGGUUUAUUAAAUAAGAGUUAGUUAAUUAAUUUUCUCGAUUUUAAAAGAGUUAAUAUGUUAUAAAAGUUAUUGUUGUAAAAUUAUUUUUAAUAAUAUAUUAGAAAUGAAAUGUUAUUCGUUUUUAAAGGUAUCUAGUUCUUUAAGAAAUAAAUUUAAUUUAGAAAUUUUUUAUUCUUUUGUUAAAUAUAUAAACAGAAGAAUUUUUUAAUUUUAAUAUUUUAUGGGAUAAGCUAUAGAAUAAAUUAUUAAAAAUUAGUAAAUUAAUUAAUAAAUGUAAGCUUAGAAAUAGUUAUCAUUAAAAAUUAUGUUAUAAUUUAUUUAUAAGGUGUUAAUAUUUAUUAAAUUUUAAGUUUUUAUUAAAGUAUUUAUUAUAAUUUUAAUUGUAAAAUAAUAAUGAUAAAAUUAGUAUAUUUAUUGUAAAAAUAUAUGGUUAUGAAAGGUUUUUGUAAAGAAUUCGGCAAAAUUAAUAUUCGCCUGUUUAACAAAAACAUGUCUUUUUGUGUUAUUUAAAAAGUCUAGCCUGCCCACUGAAUAAUUAAAUGGCCGCAGUAUAUUAACUGUGCAAAGGUAGCAUAAUCAUUAGUCUUUUAAUUGAAGGCUGGUAUGAAUGGUUGGACGAGAUAUUAACUGUUUCAUAGAAAUUUAAGUUAGAAUUUUAUUUUUUAGUUAAAAAGCUAAAAUAAAAUUAAAAGACGAGAAGACCCUAUAAAUCUUUAUACUUAUAAUGUUAUAAUUUUAUAGAAUAUUUUUAUUAUAAUAUUUUAUAGUAUUUUAUUGGGGUGAUAUUAAAAUUUAAUAAACUUUUAAUUAUAAAGCCAUUAAUUUAUGAAUAAUUGAUCCAUUAUUAGUGAUUAAAAAAAUAAGAUACUUUAGGGAUAACAGCGUAAUUUUUUUGGAGAGUUCUUAUCGAUAAAAAAGAUUGCGACCUCGAUGUUGGAUUAAGAUAUAAUUUUAGGUGUAGUAGCUUAAACUUUAAGUCUGUUCGACUUUUAAAUUCUUACAUGAUCUGAGUUCAAACCGGCGUAAGCCAGGUUGGUUUCUAUCUUUAAUUUAUAAAAAUAUUUCAGUACGAAAGGACCUAAUAUUUGAUAAAUUAUUAUUUUUGCGUUGAAUAUAAAUAAUUAA
Molecule: ribosomal RNA, 1319 nt
Filed under: Phrosinella nasuta
Lineage: Eukaryota; Metazoa; Arthropoda; Insecta; Diptera; Sarcophagidae
Description: 16S ribosomal RNA
Rfam family: Archaeal large subunit ribosomal RNA (bases 1069-1228)
Source: RNAcentral